Molecule: non-coding RNA, 73 nt
Organism: Podarcis lilfordi (Lilford's wall lizard)
Lineage: Eukaryota; Metazoa; Chordata; Lepidosauria; Squamata; Lacertidae
Source: the annotation of a GenBank genome assembly
GGAGGCUGUGGCUCAGUAGCAGAGCACAUGCUUUGCAUGCAGAAGGCAUUGGGUUCAAACCCAGGUGUCUCCA